Molecule: long non-coding RNA, 180 nt
Organism: Dermacentor andersoni
Lineage: Eukaryota; Metazoa; Arthropoda; Arachnida; Ixodida; Ixodidae
Source: RefSeq, a predicted model, not a curated record
CGUCUCUGCGCACUUGUUUGAUUUUCUAGUUACAGCGCUUGUGUGAAGCCGUUGCGAUGGGCCCGUUUAGGAGCUCGCUGUGUUGAAAUGGAUUUAAAAAAGGAAAUGAUCCAGGAAUGCCUGAAUUGUCACUGCUCAGUCUCCUUUGGCAGUGAAGAUAUUCAGCCUCAGCAGGAUUCU